RNAcentral lists this ribosomal RNA (468 nucleotides) under uncultured bacterium. Its description in RNAcentral is "partial 16S ribosomal RNA". It matches the Rfam family "Bacterial small subunit ribosomal RNA", at positions 28 to 507 of the family's 1533-position model. The record is from RNAcentral.
GACGAACGCUGGCGGCGUGCUUAAUACAUGCAAGUCGAACGGAAAGACCCGGAUCUUGCUGGGUGCUCGAUAGCGGAGCGGGGGUGUAAAACAUGUGUAAACUGCCCUUGACAUUCGGAUAACUCCACGAGACAGGGGCGCAUAUCGGGUAUGAGAUCCUGCUCCGUGGGGGGGAAUGGUAAGAUUCGGCGGUUUUGGAUGGUAUGGCGGCUUAUCCGCUUGCUGGUGGAGUAGUGGCUUACCAAGGCUUCGACGGGUAGCCGGCCUGAGAGCGUGAACGGCCACCUUGCUACUGCGAGACGGCCCAGACUCCUACGUGAGGCAGCAGUGGAGAGUAUUGCACAAUGGGCGGAAGUCUGAUGCGGCAACGCUGCGUUCGUGAUGAUGUCUUUCGGGUGGUAAACCGCUUUCUCCUGUGCUGAAGCCGUAGUGACGGUACUGGGUAAAGAAGCACCGGCUAACUACGUG